GUAUAUGCAGUCGUCUCACCGCACAGUCGUCUCACCGCACGACAGUUCUCGGAGCAAGUUAGUUGGUCUUUGUUCACCAUCUCGGGUCUUUUCGCAUUUCAUUGGAACAAAGAUGAUCUUGUAAUGACAUUGCAGGAGGUGGAGGUUCUUACCGAGUAGGUAAGGGCGCGUAUGAACGAGGACAUGGAGGCUAAGAUGGCUCAUAUGUAGGCUCAGAUGGACGCUCAGUUAAAGGCUCAGGCGGCUCAGAUGCGGCUUCCGCACUGAAGGCUCAGUACGAACAUCUUAGGCCGUACCUCACUACCUCUGCUCAAGACGUUGAGAUUGAGCUCUAUUCCACAGCCUACUCCACAUACUCCGUCCAGCCGUGGCUCGAACGACCCUUCUUCGCACGCAAGCGUUGCUGAAGGCAACCCUCUUGGCCAGUCACCAGCUCCCGGGCUCUGACUCGAGUAAGUUGCCUCAACCUUGUAUC
Brachypodium distachyon (stiff brome) is the source of this 475-nucleotide long non-coding RNA. RefSeq lists it as uncharacterized. The transcript has 3 exons. NCBI's taxonomy places the organism in Eukaryota, Viridiplantae, Streptophyta, Magnoliopsida, Poales, Poaceae. The record is from RefSeq and is a predicted model, not a curated record.